UGCCGGAUCCAUCGUCUCCGAGGGCUGAAAAUCGCAGUGAAUAAAGAAUUUUCUGGAGUGUGGGUUCAGGGUAAUUCCACCAUAUACACAAGCACUCCUUACACCGCGAACCAGACGCGGGGUUUAAAGCGCGGAACGUGGACCGGGUUUUACCCUUGAAAAAAGUGGGAGGGACUCCGCGAGCGAGGAUUUCAUGAGCGUUGCCACCGACGAACCGAGCCUCUUCUCGCUCGGCUGCCAUGGACCGCCGUGUGCGCAGUGCAUCGGACUCAACUGCGGCAACCCAG
Long non-coding RNA from Penaeus monodon (black tiger shrimp), 287 nucleotides. RefSeq lists it as uncharacterized. The record is from RefSeq and is a predicted model, not a curated record. Lineage: Eukaryota; Metazoa; Arthropoda; Malacostraca; Decapoda; Penaeidae. The transcript has 3 exons.